Molecule: long non-coding RNA, 856 nt
Organism: Phragmites australis (common reed)
Lineage: Eukaryota; Viridiplantae; Streptophyta; Magnoliopsida; Poales; Poaceae
Exons: 3
Source: RefSeq, a predicted model, not a curated record
UCGGCGCCCCCCUCCAAAUCACGGCCAUACAGACCACGUGCCACCGCCACCUUCGUCGCGUCUCACCACCGAGCCGUCGUGCGCGCCGCCAAAUGGGUCGACCGUGGCCUCGUUUCCAGACGCCAGUGCAAGCUCUACGGGGCAGGUGGGAUCCCGAUCUCUCUCACGUCGCUCAUCUUGUAGAACUCUCUCUCUCUCUCUCUCUCGGAGAACCCUCUCCUCGCAGAUACGUGGGUUGCUUGGUUGUAGCAAGCCGGUGCGCUCAUCCUCGCGGAACGCGACGCCGCCCGCCUCCCUCUCGCGAUCCACUCCGGCGUCGGCGGCUGCUCCUGAUGAGCAAGGAGCGUCAAGAAGCUCCAGAACCAGAUCCUUGAGCUGCAGCGCCAGAUCGCUGACUGGCCUGGAAGAAGCAGGGCAGCGCAUCGUGUUCUGAAUCCUUCGCUGCCACUGAAAAACAUGCAGUACCAGGAUCCUAGUUGUGAACGGCUGAGCGUGCCAGAAACAAGUGAAAGGAGCCUUCAGUUGUCAAGCCAUGGUGGAGAGAUCGCUAGUGGAGGCGCUGGCCAUGGUAGCGUAGGGAGGCACCACAGGACGUUGUCUAGACAUGCUCAAGAACGCUGGGCUGCCUAUUGCCAAGGUGUUCACUGUCUUCUUCAUGGGGUUCCUUAUGGCCGUCAAGUACAAAUCAACAUCCUCUGUCAAUAGCCUCCAAGUUAGGACGUGCUCACUGUCUGAAUGUUGACUCUGUAUGUCAGAAUGUAAGCAAAAAUUUUGGCCGUGUAUCUGUAGAGAAUAGAGAAAAUAAGACCCAUUUUUAUUCAUCAUGUCAGAUGGGUUUCAAUGUUACACAAACGGG